RNAcentral lists this ribosomal RNA (497 nucleotides) under uncultured bacterium. RNAcentral describes it as "partial 16S ribosomal RNA". It matches the Rfam family "Bacterial small subunit ribosomal RNA", at positions 30 to 523 of the family's 1533-position model. The record is from RNAcentral.
AUUGAACGCUGGCGGCAUGCCUUACACAUGCAAGUCGAACGGUAACAGGUCUUCGGAUGCUGACGAGUGGCGAACGGGUGAGUAAUACAUCGGAACGUGCCUAGUAGUGGGGGAUAACUACUCGAAAGAGUGGCUAAUACCGCAUGAGAUCUACGGAUGAAAGCAGGGGAUCGCAAGACCUUGUGCUACUAGAGCGGCCGAUGGCAGAUUAGGUAGUUGGUGGAUAAAAGCUUACCAAGCCGACGAUCCGUAGCUGGUCUGAGAGGACGAUCAGCCACACUGGGACUGAGACACGGCCCAGACUCCUACGGGAGGCAGCAGUGGGGAAUUUUGGACAAUGGGCGCAAGCCUGAUCCAGCAAUGCCGCGUGCAGGAUGAAGGCCUUCGGGUUGUAAACUGCUUUUGUACGGAACGAAAAGCCCCGGGUUAAUACCCUGGGGUCAUGACGGUACCGUAAGAAUAAGCACCGGCUAACUACGUGCCAGCAGCCGCGGUAA